Molecule: ribosomal RNA, 497 nt
Filed under: uncultured bacterium
Lineage: Bacteria
Description: partial 16S ribosomal RNA
Rfam family: Bacterial small subunit ribosomal RNA
Source: RNAcentral
GAUGAACGCUGGCGGCGUGCCUAAUACAGGCAAGUCGAGCGAACAGACGAGGAGCUUGCUCCUCUGACGUUAGCGGCGGACGGGUGAGUAACACGUGGAUAACCUACCUAUAAGACUGGGAUAACUUCGGGAAACCGGAGCUAAUACCGGAUAACAUGUUGAACCGCAUGGUUCAACAGUGAAAGACGGUCUUGCUGUCACUUAUAGAUGGAUCCGCGCCGCAUUAGCUAGUUGGUAAGGUAACGGCUUACCAAGGCAACGAUGCGUAGCCGACCUGAGAGGGUGAUCGGCCACACUGGAACUGAGACACGGUCCAGACUCCUACGGGAGGCAGCAGUAGGGAAUCUUCCGCAAUGGGCGAAAGCCUGACGGAGCAACGCCGCGUGAGUGAAGAAGGUCUUCGGAUCGUAAAACUCUGUUAUUAGGGAAGAACAAAUGUGUAAGUAACUAUGCACGUCUUGACGGUACCUAAUCAGAAAGCCACGGCUAACUACGUG